CCUACGGGAGGCUGCAGUGGGGAAUAUUGCACAAUGGGGGAAACACUGAUGCAGCGAAGCCGCGUGAGUGAAGAAGUUUUUCGGUAUGUAAAGCUCUAUCAGCCGGGGAGCAAAUGACGGUACCUGAUUAAGAAGCACCGGCUAACUACGUGCCAGCUGCCGCGGUACUGCGGAGGGGGCAAGCGUUAUCCGGAUUUACUGGGUGUAAAGGGGGCGUAGACGGCAGCACAAGUCUGGAGUGAAAUGCCGGGGCUUAACCCCGGAACUGCUUUGGAAACUGGGCAGCUAGAGUGCAGGAGAGGUAAGUGGAAUUCCUAGUGUAGCGGUGAAAUGCGUAGAUAUGAGGAGGAACACCAGUGGCGAAGGCGGCUUACUGGACGGUAACUGACGUUGAGGCACGAAAGCGUGGGGAGCAAACAGGAUUAGAUACCCGUGUAGUC
This 440-nucleotide ribosomal RNA is filed under the name uncultured bacterium. RNAcentral describes it as "partial 16S ribosomal RNA". It matches the Rfam family "Bacterial small subunit ribosomal RNA", at positions 338 to 795 of the family's 1533-position model. The record is from RNAcentral.